AUUGAACGCUGGCGGCAUGCCUAACACAUGCAAGUCGAACGGUAACGACGGGAGCUUGCUCCCGGGCGACGAGUGGCGGACGGGUGAGUAAUACUUAGGAAUCUGCCCAGUAGUGGGGGACAACUCGAGGAAACUCGAGCUAAUACCGCAUACGCCCUACGGGGGAAAGUGGAGGAUCUUCGGACUUCACGCUAUUGGAUGAGCCUAAGUCGGAUUAGCUUGUUGGUGAGGUAAUAGCUCACCAAGGCGACGAUCCGUAGCUGGUCUGAGAGGACGAUCAGCCACACUGGGACUGAGACACGGCCCAGACUCCUACGGGAGGCAGCAGUGGGAAAUAUUGGACAAUGGGCGCAAGCCUGAUCCAGCAAUGCCGCGUGUGUGAAGAAGGCCAGCGGGUUGUAAAGCACUUUCAGUAGAGAAGAAAAGCCUAGGGUUAAUACCCCUGAGUCUUGACGUAACCUACAGAAGAAGCACCGGCUAACUCCGUG
Molecule: ribosomal RNA, 488 nt
Filed under: uncultured bacterium
Lineage: Bacteria
Description: bacterial SSU rRNA
Rfam family: Bacterial small subunit ribosomal RNA
Source: RNAcentral